Molecule: long non-coding RNA, 2788 nt
Organism: Capsicum annuum
Lineage: Eukaryota; Viridiplantae; Streptophyta; Magnoliopsida; Solanales; Solanaceae
Exons: 2
Source: RefSeq, a predicted model, not a curated record
AUGAUUUGAAAGUGUAGAGUAUUUAUAGGAAUUUUUUUGUGUUUAAAAAAAUAAUUUAAUUAAAAAAAAUUAAUAAAAAAAGCAUUAUAGCCAUUUUAGGCUCCCAACGGCUAUAUGACUGUUGGGCCUAACGGCUAUAAUGGCCCAAUGGCCAUUUUCCAAAAAAUCUAAUUUUUUUUUAAAAAAUAAAUAAAUCUUAUCCAGGUCGGUUAACCGGCGAGCCUGAACCGAUUUUGGUCUGAGCCGGGUUAACCGGGCCCAAAAAAAAUAACCUAGCCCGGGACUCGGUUGCUUAUAGCCCGGGGGCUGAUUGGGCUGGGUUGGUGUGAUGGGUCAGGCUGGGCCGAUUUGGACUGGAUCAAAUCGGCCCAUUUGACACCCUUAUUAUGAAUGGUACCAGAUAUGGCUUCUUUCAUUCUACCAGAGGACUAAAGCAAGGUGACCCUCUCUCCCCUGCUUUGUUCAUUCUUGGGGAUGAAGUUUUGUCAAGAGCUCUUAACAGUUUAUAUCAGCAUCCUCAAUACUAUGGUUUUCACAUGGUAUGGCAAGGUCCUCAAAUUAAUCAUCUCAGCUUUGCUGAUGACAUAAUCAUAUUCACUAUUGGAAAGAGGCAAACUCUGAGAUUGAUAAUGAAGACUCUGGCAUCUUAUGAAGAGUCUCAAGGGUUAAAGAUGAACUGGCUUCAGCAGAAACACAGCCCUAUCACAUACCUUGGAUGCCCAAUCUAUAUUGGCAGACAAAGGAUCAGUCAUUAUGUUGGGUUAGUCAGUAAAGUUGCUUCCAAGAUAACAGAUUGGCAUUCCGGAUUGCUUAGUUAUGGUGGUAAAGCUAUCUUGGUGAAACAUGUUCUACAAUCAAUUCUCAUUCAUAUCUUUUAAGCAUGUAGUCCUCCCAAGACUAUUCUAAAACACCUUGUGUGUCUGUUUGUUGAUUUCUUCUAGGGAUGGAAGACACUAAGAGAAAAUAUCACUGGGCAUCUUGGAGAAAUCUUUGUUUUCCUACUAAUGAGGAAGGAAUUGGUAUCAGGUACAUUGUUGAUACAUGUAAAACUAUGCAAUUGAAAUAGUGGUGGAUCUUCAGAACUAGGGACACUCUGUGGGGCAAUUUCUUGCUUGCUAAAUACUGUCAGAGGGUUAAUGUUGUGGCCAGAAAAGGUUUCAGUGGGCAGUCAAUGAUAUGAAAGGCCAUGAUAAGAAACAAAGAGGAAGCUGAACUAUAUUAUGGAGAAUCAAAUCUGGUACAUGCCUCUUUUGAUGGGAUAAUUGGUCAGGAUUGGGACCUUUACACAAGUACAAAGUUGAUGGAGUUAGAUCAAACAAUGCUAAGGUUGCAGCUUUCAUAAUUGAGAGUACAUGGAAUGUGCAGAAACUAACUACAACCCUUCCCCCACAGCUGCUACAAAGUAUUCUCAAAGUUGAAUUCCAUUUCCAAGAAGGGGUUCAGACUCCCCAAUCUGGACUCUAACUACAAGUGGUGAAUUUGUUGCACCUCUGCCUGGGGAAUUAGUAGAGGGCAUAAAGACAAAACCAUGAUGAAUACUCACACCUGGCAUAGAUUGAUCCCAUUCAAAUGCUCAUUUCUGUGUUGGGGAGUCCUAAGAAGGAAACUACCUACAAAUGAAAGACUCAACCAAUUUGGCAUUGCCCCUGCUACUUGUGGUUGUUGUUCUACUUCUGGCUGGAACACCAUCCCACAUACAUUUUUUGAUGGACCAUUUACUAGACACAUCUGGCACUAUUUCUCUGCAUCUCUAGGAUUGAUUCAUGACACAAGUUCCCUCAGAAACUUCUUGUUCGAGUGGUGGAAUUCUACGGCAACUAAUAAUGCUCAUAAGUUGGUCAUGCAGGCUCUUCCCAUUAUUAUCUAUUGGAACCGGUGGAAAAAUAGGUGUGCUGUCAAGUAUGGUGGAAAACAGCCUCAACUGGCCAGAGUUAAAUUCCUCAUUUACAAAGACAUAUCUUACUUAUUACAUACUGUUUUUUCAUACAUCCCUUGGCCUAUUGGAUGGUUCAACCUGAUGACAUAUGUUGAAAAAUGCAGACAAGAGACAAAAGUAACACCUGUGUACUGUCCAAACCACCAUCUAAUAUGGUUAAACUUAAUUAUGGUGGGAAGAUUGUAGCAGGGGGAAUCAUUAGAGAUCACAAUGGAGACCUCAUCUAUGCUUAUGCUACACCUUCGGGCCAGGGGACCAAUAAUCAAGCAGAAGUGGAGGCUGCUAUCUGGGGACUUUCUUGGUGUCUGGGGAAUAACAUACAUCAGGUUCUUGGUGUCUGGGGAAUAACAUACAUCAGGUUAUAUUGGAGGUGUAUUAUGAGCUCUUGGUCAGAUGGAUCAGCAAGCAAAUACCAGUUCCAUGGUAGCUGCAAACUCUUGUUGAAUCUUUGCUAAGGCUCAUAUCACAAUUCCCUUUGUGCAUUUGCAGACAUGUUUACAGGGAAGCCAAUUUUGUGGUUGAUGCCUUAUCCAAAAUGAGUCAUCAGUCAGACCAGCUUCAUCAUUAUUUCCAUUGUUGUCAACUUCCCCCCGAAGUAGCAGGAUAUUUUCAGCUAGAUAAGAUGGGCAUGCCAAGUUUUAGAAGAAAACUAAACAAGUUACAUGAGCCAUCAUAGAGCUAGCUUACCAGUUCAUAGAUUUAGAGUACAUUCUUUGUAUUUCCUUUGCAGUAGUUGCACUUUUUCAUCGUCCGACUUUCAAGACUACCAACAAGCAAAGUCAGGAGGCAAUGGCAGAACAGUGGGGGCUCAUUUGGAGGAACAACCUUGAGAGUGGCUAAGUGGCCACAAAA